GCGCGCGUAGGCGGCUAAUUAAGUCAUAUGUGAAAUCCCCCAGCUUUACUUGGGAAUUGCAUUCGAUACUGGUUAGCUAGAGUGCGCUAGAGGAUGGUAGAAUUCCAGGUGUAGCGGUGAAAUGCGUAGAGAUCUGGAGGAAUACCGAUGGCGAAGGCAGCCUUCUGGCCUAACACUGACGCUGAGGUGCGAAAGCAUGGGGAGCAAACAGGAUUAGAUACCCUGGUAGUCCAUGCCGUAAACGAUGUCUACUAGCCGUUGGGGCCUUUGAGGCUUUAGUGGCGCAGCUAACGCGAUAAGUAGACCGCCUGGGGAGUACGGUCGCAAGACUAAAACUCAAGUGAAUUGACUGCGGCCCGCAGAAGCGGUGGAGCAUGUGGUUU
This 383-nucleotide ribosomal RNA is filed under the name Acinetobacter calcoaceticus. RNAcentral's name for it is "bacterial SSU rRNA". It matches the Rfam family "Bacterial small subunit ribosomal RNA", at positions 565 to 947 of the family's 1533-position model. The record is from RNAcentral. Lineage: Bacteria; Pseudomonadati; Pseudomonadota; Gammaproteobacteria; Moraxellales; Moraxellaceae.